CAUGUCUUUUUGUAAAUUAUUUAAAGUCUAAUCUGCCCACUGAAUUUUUAAAGGGCCGCAGUAAUCUGACUGUGCAAAGGUAGCAUAAUCAUUUGUCUUUUAAUUGAAGGCUGGUAUGAAUGAUUGGACGAAGUAAAUACUGUCUCAUUAUUAAAAUAAUAAAAAUUUAGCUUUUUAGUCAAAAGGCUAAGAUUUUUUUGGAGGACGAGAAGACCCUAUAGAUCUUUAUAAUAAUAAUUGUAUUUUUAUCUUGGGUUUAUAAUUUUUUAUAUUUUUGUUAUUAUUUUGUUGGGGUGACAUGAAAAUUAAUUAAACUUUUCAUAUUUUAUAACAUAGAUUAAUGAUUUAAUGAUCCAUUUUUAUUGAUUAUAAGAAUAAGUUACCUUAGGGAUAACAGCGUUAUUUUAUUGGAGAGUUCAUAUUGAUAAUAAAGUUUGCGACCUC
RNAcentral lists this ribosomal RNA (444 nucleotides) under Barbibucca biremis. RNAcentral describes it as "partial 16S ribosomal RNA". It matches the Rfam family "Archaeal large subunit ribosomal RNA", at positions 1906 to 2596 of the family's 2987-position model. RNAcentral also lists the same sequence under 1 other name. Lineage: Eukaryota; Metazoa; Arthropoda; Insecta; Neuroptera; Nemopteridae. The record is from RNAcentral.